CCUACGGGAGGCAGCAGUGGGGAAUAUUGCACAAUGGGGGGAACCCUGAUGCAGCGACGCCGCGUGAGUGAAGAAGUCUUUCGGUAUGUAAAGCUCUAUCAGCAGGGAAGAAAAUGACGGUACCUGACUACGCAUCCCCGGCUACCUCCGUGCCAGCAGCCGCGGUCAUACGGAGGGGGCAAGCGUUAUCCGGAUUUACUGGGUGUAAAGGGAGCGUAGACGGUUAUGCAAGUCUGAAGUGAAAGCACAAGGCUCAACCAUGGGACUGCUUUGGAAACUGUAAAACUGGAGUGCAGGAGAGGGAAGCGGAAUUCCGAGUGUAGCGGUGAAAUGCGUAGAUAUGAGGAGGAACACCAGUGGCGAAGGCGGCUGACUGGACUGGAACUGACGUUGAGGCUCGAGGCGUGGGGAGCAAACAGGAUUAGAUACCCUUGUAGUC
RNAcentral lists this ribosomal RNA (439 nucleotides) under uncultured bacterium. RNAcentral's name for it is "partial 16S ribosomal RNA". It matches the Rfam family "Bacterial small subunit ribosomal RNA", at positions 338 to 795 of the family's 1533-position model. The record is from RNAcentral.